UGGGGAAUCUUGGACAAUGGGCGCAAGCCUGAUCCAGCCAUGCCGCGUGGAUGAUGAAGGCCUUAGGGUUGUAAACCGCUUUUGUCAGGGAAGAAACGCUCUGGGCUAAUACCCUGGGGUAAUGACGGUACCUGAAGAAUAAGCACCGGCUAACUACGUGCCAGCAGCCGCGGUAAUACGUAGGGUGCAAGCGUUAAUCGGAAUUACUGGGCGUAAAGCGUGCGCAGGCGGUUAUGCAAGACAGAUGUGAAAUCCCCGGGCUCAACCUGGGAACUGCAUUUGUGACUGUAUAGCUAGAGUACGGUAGAGGGGGAUGGAAUUCCGCGUGUAGCAGUGAAAUGCGUAGAUAUGCGGAGGAACACCGAUGGCGAAGGCAAUCCCCUGGACCUGUACUGACGCUCAUGCACGAAAGCGUGGGGAGCAAACAGGAUUAGAUACCCAGGUAGUCCCUGAGCGGGCUGGCAAGGCGCAU
Molecule: ribosomal RNA, 472 nt
Filed under: uncultured bacterium
Lineage: Bacteria
Description: bacterial SSU rRNA
Rfam family: Bacterial small subunit ribosomal RNA
Source: RNAcentral